This is a long non-coding RNA of Etheostoma cragini (Arkansas darter), 593 nucleotides long. RefSeq lists it as uncharacterized. The record is from RefSeq and is a predicted model, not a curated record. Lineage: Eukaryota; Metazoa; Chordata; Actinopteri; Perciformes; Percidae. The transcript is spliced from 3 exons.
UGUGUGUGUGUGUGUGUGUGUGUGUGUGUGUGUGUGUAGGAGUUCCCAUGCUCUGGGUCGGAUCAGUGUGUAGUUCUGUGUGACGACGCCUGCAAAGACCAGCAGAAGAAAGUCAGCCAGGUGAAGGAGGCAGAGCAGAGAGCAGCUCAGGAGGAGGAGCAGAAGAAACUUCAAGAGGAGCUUGAGGCGUUCGAGAAGCGCCAGCAGCGAGGUGGUCGGAGGAAUAAGAAGCGCGGGAGGAAAGAGGAGGUGGACGCUGACGGGGGGAGGAUGGGGAGAUGGAGGCGGUGCGCCGCCUUCGUCCUCGUCCCGCUGGGCGGCGCUCUGCUGUCCGCCGCCGUCUACUACCUCCUGAACGCAGCCUGAACCGACACGCUGCUCCUCCCGUGUUUUCACCCAUGUCGCUACCGGAUGUGAGUCGAGUGCACAUUUGAGUCGAGCACGCUCAGAUUUAAACGGUUUUCGGCAUAACUGUCAUACUGAAAUUAGUGAAUUCCAUGAAAUAAUAAAGUUUUUAACAAUAACAGGAGAUGGGAAUCAUUUCAGAAACGUUGUAGCUAGCUAUGGUUGAUUGAUGCUAACGUUAGCUCAAA